GUUCCGAAAGGAUCGCGACAAGGAAAGGUACUCAUUCCGAUCCCUAUGUGAAGCUGGGAGAGCUCUUGGUCGAGGAGACAUGGCUGGAGGCUCUCCCCGGCCAGCUUCAGAAACCCUACGCGCAGAACCUGUGCAGGUUUGUGGAGAUGGAGAUGCGCGGCAGCGUCCCUAUCUACCCUCCGCCCCACCUAAGAGCUUAUGCUGCUUGUUCGGUUUGGCGGUGUUCAGGAUGAUUGCUUAUGCUGCUUGUUUAGAAGGGUCUGAUCCAGUUCGGCUCUUUGACAAGAGAGUGAACGCGAAAAGAGAGCCUGGUUAUGUUUUCGACAAGGUCGUCCUGCUGCAAUACAAUCACAUGAGCUUUGGCGGGGCUCCUGUUGAGGUAGAGACAGAAGAAGAGGCAGAAGAGUUGAUGCUACAAAAUGAUAAGGAUUCUGCAAACGGUAAUCAGCUCAAUAGGUUUUAGAAUAUAUAAACAUUUUUGGUUGGCAUCUGUUUAAGCUAAUAAAACCAUUUGGUUGUCGAAUACUUGCAUUGAUGCUUGAAUUGUAGGCCGUGGUCAUCAUUUUCAUAGUUAUUUCAGUAGGUUGAUCAUUGUGAAAACACUAUGGCUUGUGAUCUACGCCUUCGGUAAGUUGAAGAUAAAAUGUAAAUGUGAGUUUGUUACCAGAGAUGAGAGAUUUUUUGUGUCUCCAACUCCACCUGAUGACUAUGACAUUCACAUGGUGCUGAUAUGUGGAUGAUAGAAAUUCUUCUCAAUAGUGGGUUACUGUAAGAAAAUUAUCAGUUAUUUUCAUUUGUUGACAUCAUGCUGCCAGGAAAUUGUUCAUGUUCCCUAGCCAAAACUUGAAUGUAAUUUAUAUACUCAAACUUCGGGACUACUGAUCUGCCUUGUGAAGCUUUUGGUUCUACCUUAUAUAUGGUACCAAGGUUAAUCUCUUCUAAUCAAUAUUGCUAGAAAAAAAUAGCCAUUUCUUCUCUUUCCUGAAAUGCACUAUUUUUUACUUUUAAGAAUAGAACUGACAUGGAAAAGUGUGUUUCUGCGUCUAUUAUAACAUGGGUUGAGAUAGAAGCAUACUGAAACUUCUGUAAGGGUGCAAGCAUGUGUAAUCACUACACACAGAGUUGGGAGAAAUAAUGAUUAUGUUGUUCCACAUCAUUUAUUGUCCAUCUUUUUGACUGUUUAUUGUGCAGUUAUGUAAGUUAAUGCCUGUUAAGGUCUUAGGUGAAAGUUAUCAAAGUUCAUGCUAUCUUUUCCAGCUCUUCAUUUGACUUCCUUUGAUGAAGUCAAGGCAGUCAUUAUUGGACAGGUAGACUCCUUGACCUGAAUCAUUUUGUUAUGCCUCAUUGUAUGUCCUGUUCUUUGAGUUUCUUGUUUCUUACGCAUGCUACAACUUUGACAUUUUGUGCCUCCUGAUUCCCAUUUAUUAACUAGAUGAAUAUCAAGUUUAUUCAUACUGUCAUAGUGUAUUGAUCUAGUAGCAGUGGCUUGUAGAAUGAUGUUGGUCAUUUUAUCUGAGGCCUCCAUUAUUUGGUUCCAUGUAGAAAAUCGAAAAGAACAUGAUUUAAAUUUUGGUUUCUAUGUCUUGCUUUGGUUUGAUGAGUUUGAUAGUUUAAUUAUAUUUGGUUCUUGUUUUUUUUUGAAAAUUUUUUUUAACCAAAAAUGCCAAAAUAUAAUUUGUAAUAUAUUUUCAAGUAAAUCCUCAAAGCCUUGUCCAACCAUAAUAAUCUUGUCAAAUUUUAUGAUGCAUGUGAGGAUGCACUUAACGUCUACGUAGUCAUGGAGUAUGUCUUAAUUAACUCUAGUUAACUUAACAAUGAGUAACAACGUUUCUACAUAUGAUAUUUGUUCCAUGUCACAAGAUAGAGUUGAUAUAUCCAAAACUUUUUGCAUGUAGUAUCCUACUAAUAUGCCUCUUUUCUUUCCACUUUGUAUCCUGCACUAAGGAAAAAUGAUAAUACUUUUCCAUACAAAUUUUAAAAUGAACACUUCUAAGAUGAUGGGUAGCAAUUUUUUUUUAAAAAAAAUUAUGUAGUACUUCUGUUAAUUUGGAACUCAACAAUAUGUUUUUCUCUUUUCCAGAUUAUGUGAAAGUGGAGAAUUAUUAGAAAGAAUUUUAUCCAGAGGUGGAAGGUACUCAGAGGAGGAUGCAAAAGCUAUAGUUAUUCAAAUACUGAGUGUAAUCGCCUUUUGUCAUCUUCAAGGUGUUGUGCAUCGUGAUUUAAAGCCAGAGAAUUUUCUUUUCACCACUAGAGAUGAAAAUGCUCAGAUGAAGUUGAUUGAUUUUGGCCUUUCCGAUUUUGUUAAACCAGUUUACAAAUCUCAAGUACUCCAGAGUUGAAAUUGAUGAAGUGCGGUUCGAGUGGG
Molecule: long non-coding RNA, 2365 nt
Organism: Zingiber officinale
Lineage: Eukaryota; Viridiplantae; Streptophyta; Magnoliopsida; Zingiberales; Zingiberaceae
Exons: 5
Source: RefSeq, a predicted model, not a curated record